Molecule: transfer RNA, 88 nt
Filed under: Thermoplasmatales archaeon
Lineage: Archaea; Methanobacteriati; Thermoplasmatota; Thermoplasmata; Thermoplasmatales
Also listed under: 1 other name
Description: tRNA-Ser
Rfam family: tRNA
About the family: Transfer RNA (tRNA) molecules are approximately 80 nucleotides in length. Their secondary structure includes four short double-helical elements and three loops (D, anti-codon, and T loops).
Source: RNAcentral
GCUGAGGUAGCCAAGCCCGGACUAAGGCGCAGGCCUUGAGAGCCUGUGGGGCUUGCGCCCCGCGAGGGUUCAAAUCCCUCCCUCAGCG